This is a long non-coding RNA of Diceros bicornis minor, 4709 nucleotides long. RefSeq lists it as uncharacterized. The record is from RefSeq and is a predicted model, not a curated record. Lineage: Eukaryota; Metazoa; Chordata; Mammalia; Perissodactyla; Rhinocerotidae. The transcript has 3 exons.
GGUCAAAGCCUCGAAGAUGCUGGCGCCGUGUGGCGGGCGGCCUGGGCCGCGCUCCGAACCCCCGGGACGCCCCUCCAGGUUCGGAAGUCGAUGGCCACUUUGGUCGUCCCUUGUUUCCCGAAAGACUGCGACCCUGACCGUCACGCCCAAGACUGGCCUGGCCGACGAGCUCCUGAAUAUUAAAGUGGAGGGCUUAGGCCCCAGGGCACGGUGACCCUGCAAGCGUCCGCGGUCAGCUGGCGAGGCCGCCUCUUCCAUUCACUCGCCCACCACGAGGCGGGCGGCCGCGGGGGGCGGAACCUGCCAGGGACCGAGCUCUGGGUGGCGACGUCACGGGCGUGGAGCCUCACGCCAGCUGGCUCAGCGGAUCGCUGCCUCAGCCAGAUGCCGAGGGGCGUGAUGAAAAAUCCCCUGAAAAUGGAGGUGACCGUCCACCACGCGCGCAGCAGCUAGCGGUGCCGCUGGGCCCGACGCUGUCCCCCGCCCAGGUGCAGCGCUGGUUCUCCAGCCCCGAGCUGCUCCGCUGCGCCGCGCUCGCUGCAAGCCCGACGCCUGCGGGGCGCCUUCCUGCUGCCCUCAGGUGGUCCUUUUCCUGGUUUGAUUGAUAUGUUUGGUGAUGGAGGGUUAAAUGAAUCUCGAGCAAAUCUCCUGGCCUGUUGAGCUUUUGCUACUCUGGCUUUGCCAUUUUUUGGCUAUGAAGAUCUACCUCCAAUCAUAAAGGACUUAACAUUUAGGUUACUUUGAGGAGGCAGCUAAAUUCAUGCAAAGUCACCCAAAGGUCAAAGGUCCAAACAUCGGAAUGACUGGUUCUGGAAAAGGGGUAGAGUUGGCGUUUUCCAUGGCUAGCUUUCUCCCAAAUACAGCUGCACUUGUGGAUCAUCAAUGGCUGCAUCUCUCACACAGCUACUGCCCUUACACGUGCUAGAUUAAUCCUGCCAGGACUGCCUUUUAACCUAGAUAAAAUCUCUGCCAUCGAUUCAGCAGUAUACAAUGUUAAUGAAGCGCUGGAGGACUCCUUGGAUCCAGCCUACCAGGAAAACCACAUCCCCCUCGAAAAAGCCAGUGCUCAUUUCCAUUUUAUCCUUGGAGAGGACAACAGGCUUUGGAAGAGCUCUGUUUAUGCUGACAUGGCUGUGAAGCACCUCACAGAGCAUGUGAAGCCACCCUAGUUCUGGCCACAGAAUAGAUCCCCCUUAUAGCCCUUUUUUUCUCUGCCGUCCCGCAACCCACUUUGGGGGUGCCUGUUUGGGGAAGUGGGCAGCUCAAAGCUCAUGCUGUUGCUCAGAUUGAGUCUUGGAAGAAGGCCUUGGAGUUUCUGCACAUGUAUCUGGGGGAAGGCUAACCAGUAAACAGUUAACUGGCUAGAAUAUGCUCAGAACAAAUCAGGGGACAGAUUGAAUAUUUUUGACAAAUGACGACUGAGAUCUGGACUUCACGUGGGCAUCUGCAAGCUUUUAAAAGAAGUAAAAAUACUUGCUUCAGGUUCAUCAGAGCCUGUAGCUUUGGUACUAUCCAUGUUUCUCCAUGUUUGGUUGGUUUGAGCUUGAACUCAAGGUAAUUGCUAAGUGAAAAUCAGUUUCAAUCUGCCAUUUACCCACCCUUCCCUCCCACCCUCCCUGUCACCUUCUGUACUUUCAGAGGUUUUUAAAUACUGGUGUAUGAAAAUUAGUUUGCUGUAUCUGUCCCAGAGGUUUCAAAACUGUUUUGAACAGGGGUGAAUACAUGAAUAUAGGCCCCUGGUUUUAUGAAGAGGAACCACUGGGCUCUGAUAACUUUCUAUAAUGGUCAGAGGGUGGAGUGAAUUCUAACAAGAUGACUCGGAGGCUAAUUUGUGGUCGACUGAAGUCAUAGAAUCCUUUCUGCUGUUAAUCAGAUUUUGAUUUUUCUUCAGUUGCCACCUGUUCUAGGAUCUUUAAGAAAGUUAGAAAUCCUAGGACACCUGCUUUAAAAAUGGCAACCAAUUACUAAGAAACACUUUGAUUCUCUACAGUUCCCUUAUCUCUGUAUUUGUAGUUGAAAAAACUUUUCUUCACGCUUUGUUUCAAAAAUAUAUUUAAAAAGAGGCAGAUUCCAGAUUCUAGUCCUAAGUUGAUAAUUAUACAUGUAGACAAUGUAAUUAUCUGAGGGAAAGACAGAGUUCAUCCCUUCUACCUUAUACUACCUUCACCAAAAAUUUAAUUACAAUUUGUGGAUCAGCCUUAACUUACUAAAUAAUCUUAGCUGAAGUUCUGAGGUUUGAUUCUAAACUUUAAAAAUAUGUGUGGAAUUAGAAGGUGUUAAAAGUUCUGGCCCUCAUCAUAAUUUAGUUUGGUUUUUUUUCCCCACGUACUUGAAGGGAAAGAUUACGGUGAUAAUUACUAGCCUUUGAUUUUGGUUGAUCAGUGGAUCUUGUGGUCAGAACUAUAUUUUGGGUUCUUCUUGGCAGAGGAUGAAGUGUUGUCACCCUAAUUUGUAGUAUUAAUAGUUUUCUCCCCCUAAAUUAACAUUAUUUUUUAAAUUGAACACAUUUCAAAUUAUUAACAUCAAAAAGUAUGUGUAUACAUACAUACUUUUUAUGUGUAUUUAUAUAUAUAUGCACAGACACACUACCUCUUGAUUUUGGGGUAUUCCUGUAAGAUUUUUAAAAGAGGUUUAUUUUAAAAUAGACCAAAAACAUGGUAAGGGGAGAAACUGGCUUUUUAGCAAAUAACUAUAAUGAGAAUCGUAAUCUGAGAAAUCAACUAUUGAAAUGUGAUACAAUGCUCAUUCUAAUUUGCACUGAUAAACCUCUUGACUAUACAAAUAACCUUGGGAACUAAUGACUCUGUUAGGCUUUAAGUUCUUUUUUUUAAUUUUAUUUUAAGGUAUGUAACUUGUAGCUAUUUUGCUCAAUCUCUAAUCAUCUGUUAAAUGUGACAGUUUUUCUUCUCUUUUAUUAAAUCCACAUUCUUGUUUAAAAAUUAGAGAUUUCCUAACAUAUUUGGUUUUCUAUCAUUUCACACUAUUUUACCUAUACUUUUCAAAGAGUCUGCUAGAUUUUUCUGCAUUUUGAAAAACUGUUUCAAUAAUAUUUUUAAACUUUUCUCUUAGCUUUCUUUUACCCAGGCCUGCAACAAGAGCAAGUGGACCCAAAGCCAUAUUGUCUCCUGAACAGAUUUGGGAAUCUAUUUUAUCGUUUUGCAGGAUUUAAGGAUCCAAGUUAUAUAAAUCUCUUUUUUUUUUUUCCUGUGUGAAUGUUUUUAACCUUUGAGAAUCUGAAACUCAAAAUGUACUUGAUGGGAAAUGUACCAAGAUAUUGUGAAUUUGCAGAGACAAGCAAAUUUCUGUUUAUAUAGCAGUAUAUAUAUUUAUAUAUUUAUAUAUAAACUGCUAUAUAAACAGUUUAUACAGUGGUAAAUAGUUUUAUUUACAGAUAAAUAAAACAUAUUCAUGGUCAAGUUUACUACUGCAAUGACAAGGAGGAAGUAGAUGUAAUGCUCUGAGUGAGCAAAAAGAUAAAAUUGAUUAAUGAUGUUUCAUCAUUAAUACCAGUUUCUUACUUAUGGUGUAAUCCAUAGUUUUGAGUAAAAGGAACUCUGCUGGGUUAUGAGAUAUGUUUGAGGAUUAGAUUCCCUUUACAGCCACAUCAACAAACCUAGUAGAGAUUUUGGCAGGCAAGGAAGAAUUCUAGCUCAGAGAGAUGUGGAGGUAUAGAGAUCUUCUGAAAAAACACAAGAACAAAAGUUGGAUAUGUUAUGAAUAUACUUUUUUUGUGUGUGUGAGGAAGACUGGCCCUCAGCUAACAUCCUCCUCUACUUUGUAUGUGGGAUGCAGCCACAGCAUGGCUUGAUGAGCAGUGCACAGGUCGGAGCCCGGGAUCCUGUGAACCCCAGGGCCACCAAAGUGGAGUGCCUGUACUUAACCAUAUGCCACCAGGCUGGCCCCAUGUAUACACAUUUUUAUUUUCUUCAAUAAACAUUUUACUUUUGCCUAUUUUUAUAAAUGUGAUUAAGUUACCUUUUUCAAGAUAAAAUUUAUUUCUUAUUUCAAAAUUUAAAACAUCCACAUUAUAGAACAAUUAGAAGAUAAGCAAAAUGAACAUUCUAUUAAUCUGCUCAGGUUGCCAUAACAAAAUACCACAGACUGGAUAGCUUAAACAACAGAAAUUUGUUUUCUCACGGUUCUGGAGGCUGGAAGUCCAAGAUCAAGGUACCAACGGGAUUGGUUUUUGUUGAGGCCUCUCUCCUUGGCUUGCAGAUUACCACCUUUUCCCUGUGUCCUUGCAUGGCCUUUCUCCUGUGCUCACCACUCACACCAUUGUUCCUCUUCUUAAAAGCAAACCAGUCCUUUGGAUUAGGGCCCCACUCUUAGGGCCCCAUUUAACUAUAAUUACCUCCUUAAAGGCCCUGUCUCCAAAUACAGUCACAUUGGGGGUUAGGGCUUCAACCUAUGAAUUUUGAGGGGGCACAAUUCAGUCCGUAAUAAACAUUAAACCCUCAUAAUAUCCUUUUAAAUAUAUUACAUAUAUAUGUGUGUGCUAUAUAUAAUUUUUAAGAGUAUCAUACCAACUAUUUUGUUUGGUAACUUCCAUUUUAAAUUAAUAUAUCAUGGCUAUCUUUGCAUGUGAAUAGGUGCUUUCAGCAACACUUUUAAUGGAAGUACUAUAUUAUUUCAUUGUUUGGAUGUUCAGCAAUACCAAUUCUCUUGUUGACAUCGGGUUUUCUUUUUGCUAUUAAAACUUUGAACACGUA